AGAGUUUGAUUCUGGCUCAGAACGAACGCUGGCGGCGUGGAUAAGACAUGCAAGUCGAACGGUUGGCAAGUGGUAGCAAUACGACUUGUCGAUAGUGGCGAAAGGGUGCGUAACACGUGGGCAAUUUACCGCGAAGUCCGGAAUAACCUGCCGAAAGGUAGGCUAAUACCGGAUGUGGUCCUCCAGGGGAAUCCUUGGUCGACUAAAGGUGGGGAUCUUCGGACCUGCCGCUUCAUGAUAAGCCCGCGGCCUAUCAGCUUGUUGGUGAGGUAAAAGCUCACCAAGGCUAAGACGGGUAACUGGUCUGAGAGGACGGUCGGUCACACUGGAACUGAGACACGGUCCAGACACCUACGGGUGGCAGCAGUCGAGAAUCAUUCACAAUGGGCGAAAGCCUGAUGGUGCGACGCCGCGUGGGGGAUGAAGUGCUUCGGUAUGUAAACCCCUGUCAUCUGCGAGCAAACCUUUUCGGUUAACACCUGGAAAGCUGAUAGUAGCAGAAGAGGAAGGGACGGCUAACUCUGUGCCAGCAGCCGCGGUAAUACAGAGGUCCCAAGCGUUGUUCGGAUUCACUGGGCGUAAAGGGUGCGUAGGCGGCAUGGCAAGUUUGGUGUGAAAGCUCCGAGCUCAACUCGGAAAUUGCACUGAAAACUGCCAAGCUCGAGGAUUCGGAGGGGAGACUGGAAUUCUUGGUGUAGCAGUGAAAUGCGUAGAUAUCAAGAGGAACACCAAUGGCGAAGGCAAGUCUCUGGACGACACCUGACACUGAGGCACGAAAGCUAGGGGAGCAAACAGGAUUAGAUACCCUGGUAGUCCUAGCCGUAAACGGUGCACACUUGCUAUAAGAGGAAUCGACCCCUUUUGUGGCGAAGCUAACGCGUUAAGUGUGCCGCCUGGGAAGUACGGUCGCAAGAUUAAAACUCAAAGAAAUUGAGGGGGGCCUCCACAAGCGGUGGAGUAUGUGGUUUAAUUCGAUGCAACGCGGAGAACCUUACCUAGUCUUGACAUGCAAGUGGUAGAAGCCCGAAAGGGUAACGACCCCGCAAGGGGAGCUUGCACAGGUGCUGCAUGGCUGUCGUCAGCUCGUGUCGUGAGAUGUUGGGUUAAGUCCCGCAACGAGCGCAACCCUUAUGUCCUGUUGCCACUUCCGCUAGCGCGGAAAGCACUCUGGACAGACUGCCUCAUCUAAAUGAGGAGGAAGGUGGGGAUGACGUCAAGUCAGUAUGGCCCUUACGCCCAGGGCUGCACACGUACUACAAUGCCAAGUACAGAGGGACGCCAAGCCGCGAGGUGGAGCAAAUCCCAUAAAACUUGGCUCAGUUCAGAUUGUAGUCUGCAACUCGACUACAUGAAGCUGGAAUCGCUAGUAAUGGCGCAUCAGCUACGGCGCCGUGAAUACGUUCCCAGGCCUUGUACACACCGCCCGUCACAUCAUGAAAGCCGGUUGUACCCGAAGUCGCUGAGCCAACCCCGCGCAAGCGGGGGGGUAGGUGCCGAAGGUAUGGCUGGUGAUUGGGAUGAAGUCGUAACAAGGUAGCCGUA
RNAcentral lists this ribosomal RNA (1542 nucleotides) under uncultured prokaryote. RNAcentral's name for it is "partial 16S ribosomal RNA". It matches the Rfam family "Bacterial small subunit ribosomal RNA". The record is from RNAcentral.